Non-coding RNA from Paramuricea clavata, 433 nucleotides. NCBI's taxonomy places the organism in Eukaryota, Metazoa, Cnidaria, Anthozoa, Malacalcyonacea, Plexauridae. The record is from the annotation of a GenBank genome assembly.
AUUAGAAAUCCCGGGAGGGGGGGUGAAAAUUCCCAAAAAAAAUUCGUGCAAAGGAAAAUGCCUGGAAAAAAAAUUCGUGCAGCCAUUACGUCAGAGAAAAAAAAAUCGUGCAAGCAAACAGCGAAGUACAAAUAGUCUUGAAAAAAAUUCGUGCAGAGGUUAAAUGCAUUAAAAAAAAUUCCUGCAGAGAGACGAGACUGAAAAAAAAAUUCGUGCCGCAAAAAUUUUAUACCCCCCCCCCCUCCCGGGAUUUCUAAUGGUCCGCCCCUUAGUUUAACGUUCUGCUGAGCAUGACAAAGCCGUUGAGAAUACCCCUGGGACCACAAAUUAUUCACAGUUUUUGUCUUGCAUGACAAAUUUCUUUCUUUCGCAAGCGCGUCGUUGAGCCGGCCGCGUCGUAGAUCUUAAACUCUCUAAUGUCGCUCCAACGUCG